This 253-nucleotide ribosomal RNA is filed under the name uncultured bacterium. RNAcentral's name for it is "partial 16S ribosomal RNA". It matches the Rfam family "Bacterial small subunit ribosomal RNA", at positions 524 to 776 of the family's 1533-position model. The record is from RNAcentral.
UACAGAGGGGGCAAGCGUUGUUCGGAAUUACUGGGCGUAAAGGGCGCGUAGGCGGCCUGCUAAGUCGAACGUGAAAUCCCCGAGCUCAACUCGGGAACUGCGUCCGAUACUGGCAGGCUUGAAUCCGGGAGAGGGAUGCGGAAUUCCAGGUGUAGCGGUGAAAUGCGUAGAUAUCUGGAGGAACACCGGUGGCGAAGGCGGCAUCCUGGACCAAUACUGACACUGAGGAGCGAAAGCCAGGGGAGCAAACGGG